This 29-nucleotide small RNA is filed under the name Bombyx mori (domestic silkworm). RNAcentral's name for it is "ovarian small RNA-15848". Lineage: Eukaryota; Metazoa; Arthropoda; Insecta; Lepidoptera; Bombycidae. The record is from RNAcentral.
GAGCUAGGAUGCGUAGUUUUCGCGGAAAA